This 461-nucleotide ribosomal RNA is filed under the name Hepatozoon canis. Its description in RNAcentral is "SSU rRNA". It matches the Rfam family "Eukaryotic small subunit ribosomal RNA", at positions 559 to 1018 of the family's 1831-position model. Lineage: Eukaryota; Apicomplexa; Hepatozoidae. The record is from RNAcentral.
GUCUGGUGCCAGCAGCCGCGGUAAUUCCAGCUCCAAUAGCGUAUAUUAAAAUUGUUGCAGUUAAAAAGCUCGUAGUUGAAGUUCUGCUGAAAGUAACCGGUCUGCUUUUAAUAAAAGUGGUAUCUUGGUAUGUAUUUAGCAAUGAUGUCCUUUGAAGUGUUUUUUACUUUAUUGUAAUAAAGCAUAUUCAGGACUUUUACUUUGAGAAAAUUAGAGUGUUUCUAGCAGGCUAACGCUUUGAAUACUGCAGCAUGGAAUAAUAAGAUAGGAUUUUAGUUCUACAUUAUUGGUUUUAAGAGCUAAAUUAAUGAUUGAUAGGGACAGUUGGGGGCAUUUGUAUUUAACUGUCAGAGGUGAAAUUCUUAGAUUUGUUAAAGACAAACUACUGCGAAAGCAUUUGCCAAAGAUGUUUUCAUUAAUCAAGAACGAAAGUUAGGGGAUCGAAGACGAUCAGAUACCGU